RNAcentral lists this ribosomal RNA (497 nucleotides) under uncultured bacterium. Its description in RNAcentral is "partial 16S ribosomal RNA". It matches the Rfam family "Bacterial small subunit ribosomal RNA", at positions 28 to 507 of the family's 1533-position model. The record is from RNAcentral.
GAUGAACGCUGGCGGCGUGCCUAAUACAUGCAAGUCGAGCGAACGGACGAGAAGCUUGCUUCUCUGAUGUUGGCGGCGGACGGGUGAGUAACACGUGGAUAACCUACCUAUAAGACUGGGAUAACUUCGGGAAACCGGAGCUAAUACCGGAUAAUAUUUUGAACCGCAUGGUUCAAAAGUGAAAGACGGUCUUGCUGUCACUUAUAGAUGGAUCCGCGCUGCAUUAGCUAGUUGGUAAGGUAACGGCUUACCAAGGCAACGAUGCAUAGCCGACCUGAGAGGGUGAUCGGCCACACUGGAACUGAGACACGGUCCAGACUCCUACGGGAGGCAGCAGUAGGGAAUCUUCCGCAAUGGGCGAAAGCCUGACGGAGCAGCGCCGCGUGAGUGAUGAAGGUCUUCGGAUCGUAAAACUCUGUUAUUAGGGAAGAACAUAUGUGUAAGUAACUGUGCACAUCUUGACGGUACCUAAUCAGAAAGCCACGGCUAACUACGUG